UAAGAAUUUGAGCUAGGAGGCACUUGGAGAUAUUUUCAUCUAAUGCAAUUUCCUCAUUUUAUAGAUAAAGUAAUUGAAAACUAGAUAGAGGAAAUCAUUUGUCUAUACCAGGAAAAACCAGAUAGUUUGUGGCAAAGUCAAUAUUUAACCCCAGGUCGUCUGAAUCUAAUACUCUUUCCACCCUAUAAUCCCUCUUUCCUCCAGUUGUUGGUUUAGGUAAGGUAGCUGCCUGUCUUACAGCUCUUAUCACAUGGAAGGAUGUUAGCAUUUCAGAGACCUGGCAUUUCAAACCAGAGAACCAGUCUAAGUCAGCACACCUGUUCUGUGAUAAGGGUUAGAACCUUAACUUGGGUGGGAGGAGAGCGUGAGAAAAUUAGGCCUUAUUUGGACAUAUUUCUCUGCUGACCAAAUUAACAUUUGACUUCCAACUGUUCUUUCUUUCCUUCCUUAACAUUUUCUUAUUUAUAAACAACUAUUAUAUUUCAAAGUGCUAAGUUGGGCUUGAAGGUUCAGCAAGAACAGUUGGAGCACCAAUACAAUCUAUAUCAUGAUUUCCCCCCAAAUAUGUAUUUGUUACUGUUCCUCAUUUCAAAGUGAAAAGAACAUGAAUUAAAAGAAUAAAAGGCAGCCCUGAAUUGAAUACUGGAUGCAUUUUUCACUGCUAUUUUCCUUUCAAAAAUAUGUACUUAUUAUAUGUUUUCUUACGAUUUUGAGCCAAGGAAACAUUAAGAGUCUGUAGAAUUAAGAAGGCAGUUUAACACACUGAUCAUAUCUCCAGUAAUUGGAAUCUGAAAGAACCUGCUGUAAAAGGAUGCAUUCCAACUGCCAUCUGACAAUUCACAUGCUGGUUGUCCCAGGCAUUAUAAGUCUAUUAGGAGAACAAAGACAAUCAAAAAGAGUGGAUAGAGAACACCUUUGCCUUGGGGUAGAUGAGCUGAGGAGGCUGACCAGAGAAAAAAAGGUCUCAUCACACAUGUGCAAUUGUACAGACUUAUUGGAUCGUAGCGUCUAUAGCUGUUCAUUGAAGAUUUAAGAAGUCAAAAUUUUGUUGCUGUGAAUACUCUCAUCCCCAACAUAGAUUAGACCUUGCUUUAAUUUAAUAGAUCAUCUUUUAGAGUUGUUGUGGCUUAAAAAUAAGUAAACAAAUAAAUAAAUGAACAAAUAACA
RNAcentral lists this long non-coding RNA (1167 nucleotides) under Monodelphis domestica (gray short-tailed opossum). Its description in RNAcentral is "lncRNA (ENSMODG00000039461.1)". Lineage: Eukaryota; Metazoa; Chordata; Mammalia; Didelphimorphia; Didelphidae. The record is from RNAcentral.